GCCUAUGCUGCAUGCUUUGGGGAGAUGCUCUCUAAUUAUUUAUCCGUUGUCUUCCCCAAACAGGGCAUCUUUGUUCCUUGAACCUGAAAGACCUAACCUAAAUCUUCUAUUCAGUCAGUUUCAAAAUCUCCACCCAAUCCACCUCCUCUGAGAAGCAUGUCUGAUUCCCCAGCAUGUCUGAAGUCCUGUAUUCCUAGGAUUUGGGAACACGGUGACCUAACGUCUGGUGUUGUUCUUUGCUGGACCCUGCACAUCAGAACUGUCUUUUCAUCUGCCUACAUCUUCUCCAAGGAAGAUUACAGGUCUUAUACUUUUUCUGUAGCUCUCACUGUGUUCAGGCCACCGCUGCAGACAUAGGAGCUGAAGCUCUUUAUCAAAAUGUUGCCAACAAUGAAAUGAAUAUUGACGUUCCCUCCCCACUUCCCCUCUUCUGUGCAGCCAUGUUUUCACGAGAUUCUCCAGGGCAUUGAGAGGUUUUUAUGACUCUGAAUCCACAAUGCCAGGCAAAGUACCCCACAGGCACUGCUGCUGCUCAAGAUAAUGAUGCAGAUAAUGACGGUACAAGGUGAUGUGAUAAAGGUGGGUAUCCUUCUGCGUGAGUUGGAGAAGUCUCUUAGCAGGAGGGCUGCUGAUCACAGAGGUCAAAAUAGAACUGGGGAAGAAGAGCUACCUAAGUACAAGAAAUUGCAACAAAAUAUAUUAUGAAACAGAAGAAAAAGGCAUGUGGCAACAGAUGAGAGUAGGAAAAAGGAAAAGAGGAAAUGGAACUAAUAGAGGUAAACAGUUCAAAGUUCUAUUUACCGGUGAAUAAAAAUCUUCUUUGGAGACUACUGGA
This is a non-coding RNA of Ictidomys tridecemlineatus (thirteen-lined ground squirrel), 835 nucleotides long. The record is from RefSeq and is a predicted model, not a curated record. NCBI's taxonomy places the organism in Eukaryota, Metazoa, Chordata, Mammalia, Rodentia, Sciuridae.